UUUCAUCAUAAUGUUGUAUCACACAACUCCUAUAAAUGGAGUCCCUUCUUACAACUUCAGAUAUUCAAUAUACAAGAGUUUCUCUUACUCUCUUAAUAUCACUCUUAUUUCUUUCACCUAUGUUUCAUCAAUGAUGCAUACAUACAUAGUUUGCGAACAAUCGUUACAAAAUGGUGGUCAUCAUAUCUAACCUUCAGCUAGUUCAUAUACAAGCAGGACAAAUUAAUGUAACAAAUUAUUUGAAGAAGGCAAAUAAUUUUUUUGAACUUGAUUAUGUUUGAAGAACAUAAAUCAUCUAUUUAUUUUUAACCUGAGCUAUCUAAGAUGGUCUAUUCGGAUUGGUUUUGCUUCAAAAUGGACUUAGAAGCAUAAAUGUCGAAAGUUUACUUUCUAUGCUGACGGUAUGGAUUUGUGGUUACCUAUGAUAGUCUUACAGGUACCGUUCGGUGGAACUUGAGAGCUCAUUGAGUCAUUGAUGAUUCAGAGAUUGUGCUGCCAUGCUCUUGGGUCAUGAUGGCUGCGGCUAGUAUUGAAGUUUCUAUGGCAUCGGAUGCAUUGUUGGUGAGAAGGUUUUGGGCUGUUUAUGGGUUUGAGGUUAUCUAAUAGGAGGUGGAUUGAGUCAAUUGUUUUGUUAUCCGACCUUGAAUAAAGGCUAAAUACAUACCUUAUUUGUCUGUGUGUAAUAAUGUUAGUGGUGGUAGAUACUGAGGGCUCUAGCUUGCUAUAUGACCUCUUUUUGUGCUUUUUAUAAUUUGCGAUGAUUUGAAGUUCAAUUUUUGCU
Molecule: non-coding RNA, 781 nt
Organism: Camellia sinensis
Lineage: Eukaryota; Viridiplantae; Streptophyta; Magnoliopsida; Ericales; Theaceae
Source: RefSeq, a predicted model, not a curated record